GUGCUUCCUUCAGUAGCACAUACACUAAAAUUGGAAUGAUAGAGAGAAGAUUAGCAUGGCCCCUGGGCAAGGAUGACACUCAAAUUCAUGAAGCAUUCCAUAUAUGU
This 107-nucleotide small nuclear RNA is filed under the name Procavia capensis (Cape rock hyrax). The record is from RNAcentral. Lineage: Eukaryota; Metazoa; Chordata; Mammalia; Hyracoidea; Procaviidae.